AGUGAGAUGGCCGAGUGGCUUAAGGCACUCCCCUGCUAAGGGAGUAUGCAGAUACAUACUGCAUCGAGGGUUCGAAUCCCUCUCUCACUG
This 90-nucleotide transfer RNA is filed under the name Candidatus Blochmannia ocreatus (nom. nud.). RNAcentral's name for it is "Candidatus Blochmannia ocreatus tRNA-Ser". It matches the Rfam family "tRNA". From Rfam's summary of the family: Transfer RNA (tRNA) molecules are approximately 80 nucleotides in length. Their secondary structure includes four short double-helical elements and three loops (D, anti-codon, and T loops). Lineage: Bacteria; Pseudomonadati; Pseudomonadota; Gammaproteobacteria; Enterobacterales; Enterobacteriaceae. The record is from RNAcentral.